AGCAGCCGCGGUAAUUCCAGCUCCAAUAGCGUAUAUUAAAGUUGUUGCAGUUAAAAAGCUCGUAGUUGAAUUUCGGGGUCAGUAGGUCGGUCGUGCCACUGGUAUGAACUGGUUUUACUGAUUCCUCCCUCUUGAAGAACUGUAAUGCCAUUAAUUUGGUGUUGCAGGGAAUCAGGACUGUUACUUUGAAAAAAUUAGAGUGUUUAAAGCAGGCUUUAGCUUGAAUACAUUAGCAUGGAAUAAUGAAAUAGGACGUUUGAUCCUAUUUUGUUGGUUUCUAGGAUUGACGUAAUGAUUAAUAGGGAUAGUUGGGGGCAUUAGUAUUCAAUUGUCAGAGGUGAAAUUCUUGGAUUUAUUGAAGACUAACUACUGCGAAAGCAUUUUGCCAAGGAUGUUUUCAUUAAUCAAGAACGAAAGUUAGGGGAUCGAAGACGAUCAGAUACCGUCGUAGUCUUAACCAUAAACUAUGCCGACUAGGGAUCGGAUGAUGUUAAUUUUUUAAUGACUCAUUCGGCGCCUU
Molecule: ribosomal RNA, 520 nt
Filed under: uncultured Glomus
Lineage: Eukaryota; Fungi; Glomeromycota; Glomeromycetes; Glomerales; Glomeraceae
Description: SSU rRNA
Rfam family: Eukaryotic small subunit ribosomal RNA
Source: RNAcentral